This 253-nucleotide ribosomal RNA is filed under the name uncultured bacterium. RNAcentral's name for it is "partial 16S ribosomal RNA". It matches the Rfam family "Bacterial small subunit ribosomal RNA", at positions 524 to 776 of the family's 1533-position model. The record is from RNAcentral.
UACGUAGGGUGCGAGCGUUAAUCGGAAUUACUGGGCGUAAAGUGUGCGCAGGCGGCCGCGCAAGUCGAGUGUGAAAGCCCCGAGCUUAACUUGGGAAUUGCGCUCGAAACUACGUGGCUGGAGUGUGGCAGAGGAAGGUGGAAUUCCAGGUGUAGCGGUGAAAUGCGUAGAGAUCUGGAGGAACACCGAUGGCGAAGGCAGCCUUCUGGGCCAACACUGACGCUCAUGCGCGAAAGCGUGGGGAGCAAACAGG